RNAcentral lists this ribosomal RNA (245 nucleotides) under uncultured bacterium. RNAcentral's name for it is "partial 16S ribosomal RNA". It matches the Rfam family "Bacterial small subunit ribosomal RNA", at positions 29 to 257 of the family's 1533-position model. The record is from RNAcentral.
AACGAACGCUGGCGGCGUGCCUAACACAUGCAAGUCGAACGAGAAAGGGGCUUCGGCCCUGAGUAAAGUGGCGCACGGGUGAGUAACACGUAGGUAACCUGCCUCUAAGAUCGGGAUAACCCGUCGAAAGACGAGCUAAUACCGGAUAAGACCACAGUCUCCUCGGAGAUCGGGGCCAAAGGUAGCCUCUACUUGUAAGCUAUCACUUAGAGAUGGGCCUGCGUACCAUUAGCUAGUUGGNGGGG